RNAcentral lists this transfer RNA (64 nucleotides) under Serritermes serrifer. RNAcentral's name for it is "tRNA-Glu". It matches the Rfam family "tRNA". From Rfam's summary of the family: Transfer RNA (tRNA) molecules are approximately 80 nucleotides in length. The record is from RNAcentral. Lineage: Eukaryota; Metazoa; Arthropoda; Insecta; Blattodea; Serritermitidae.
AUUUAUAUAGUUUAAACAAAACAUUACAUUUUCACUGUAAAAAUAAAGCGAACUUUUAUAAAUA